RNAcentral lists this non-coding RNA (440 nucleotides) under Hydroides elegans (calcareous tube worm). The record is from RNAcentral. Lineage: Eukaryota; Metazoa; Annelida; Polychaeta; Sabellida; Serpulidae.
CACUACGUCACCAACGCCAGGUCUUGUGUAGUCCUAGCGUCUCUAACCCUAAGUGGUUACGCGGUCUCAUUGCACUCGUGUUGCUGUUACUCUUGCCCAGCCUUCAGCAGCACAGGGAUCGUUCGAAACAAAUAAAAAAAGGCUGGGUUUGUGACAUUUAGUGUGUGCAUAAUAUGUAAGGAUUGUCAUCACAAAAAUGCAACCUAGUGGCGGUCACAAGCCAGUGGCAAUCAUGCGUGGUUGUUUUGCGUGAUGCGAACCAUGGACAUGCGUUAUACAGUUAUUUUCCUGUCGCGUGUGAUCUGUGGGGAAAAUGGCGAUUCUUGUUUUAGCGCACAUGUUGAUUAAAAUUGUCUGGGCAGGUCACCGUGUCUCUUGGCAAGUUGUUUUAAAGCUGCUUAAUUUAUGCCAAACGGAACUAGCUGUUUCAGACUACACUU